This 3721-nucleotide unclassified non-coding RNA is filed under the name Leishmania donovani. RNAcentral describes it as "gene:LdHU3.23.0680(CDS-product:aldose_1-epimerase -like_protein)". Lineage: Eukaryota; Euglenozoa; Kinetoplastea; Trypanosomatida; Trypanosomatidae. The record is from RNAcentral.
CAAACCACGCGCGCUCGUGGCGCCGCUACAGGGCUUCUCUGUCAGCGUGUCUGCGUGCGCGUCGUAUAUCGCUCGCUUCUCUGUGUACUCCUGCCAUCGCCUUUCCUUGCUUGUACCGCCUCGUUGGCUGCUCGAAGCCACCGACACCCUCUCGCAUCGCCGCAGCUGCGCCAAAAGCUGCAUCACAUACCACCAGCCAAAACGGCCGCAUCGACAGCGCCAACGUCCCUUGUCGCCGUCCGGCAUCCCCCCUCCCCCUCCGACAUCUUGUUGUUGGGUUGUACCGUGCCGUUCGCCGCCCACCACCUAACACCUCAAGACCGCCGACAGCUCAAUCGACGCAUCGCGGAGUGCAACGAAGCGAAGGGAACGCUAAGAGUAGGCGAGGCACCGCUGCCCUCUUCCGCCGUCCCCAGCCCCUCCUCCUCCUCCUCCCCUUCAUCAAAAAACACGCACAGAGAGAGCGACCCGCCUUGGCUUUCGGCAGCUUUGGGGGCUUUUCGAUCUUCGUGUGGCUUUCUUGUCUUCCAAUCCAUCUCCUGCCCGCUCCUCCGAGCCCCCUCCUUCGCCAUCCACACAACCCACGCCCGAAGCCAAGCCUCCAGCUUCUCACUAUACCCUUCCCCCAGGUCUCAGGAAGACGCUGCGCUAGUCGUGCUAGCGCCUUCCUCCCAUCACCAUCACUUCUUCGUGCUGCCGCUGCUCUGCUGCUUCUCCCGCUUUACUGUUCGCAUCCACCUCCUCUCUUACGUGGACAUCCUGUGCGGCCCCUCCCUCCCUGUUGGGGGCCACGGUACGACGUGACACCGACGUCCCUGCAACGGCGGAGAGGACACGCCUUCGAUCACGCAUACGCGCACACAGAGCGCCGCAACGUGUGCAGCAGUCGAGCAUGGCCGACACGCAGCCUGUCCCGGCGACGGUGACGUCCGCACACGGCGCCCAUGCAGAGGCGUUUGGCGAGUCUUUCAUCGUGACACUGAGCUCUGAAAACCUGCGCGUGCAGCUGCUGUCGCAUGGUGCGGCGCUAAACUCCGUUAAGGUGCGCAAACCGCACGCCGCAGCAUCGGCCACCACUGCGGCGUCGGCGACUGCAGAGCAGGACGAUGAAUGGUUGGAAGUGUGCCUCGGCUACACGAACCCGGAGGAGGCUCUCAGCGCCGAUGCGGUGGUCGGUCAUACUAUUGGACGAUACGCCGGGCGCAUCGCCAAUGGCGAGUUCGAGAUGGCGAACACGACGUAUACGCUCGCCAAAAACUUUGGCCCGCACAACCUCCACGGCGGCCCGGUCGGGUUUCAACACCAGGAAUGGAAGUACCUGUUGUCGGACGGCAGGGAUGAGACUGGUGUGGCGUUCCACCUCGUCUCACCGCACAUGGAUCAGGGCUUCCCCGGUGAACUCUUCGUGACGGCUACCUACAGCAUCAUUAAGUCAGCUCCAGUGCCCACCCUCAAGUGCGUGCUUCAAGCCUCGCUGUCGGACCACACGCCAGUGGACAUGACGGUGAUCAACCUGACGAACCAUGCGUACUGGAACCUGAACGGUGUUCCGCGACCAGCAGCGACGGAUGCGGUGGCGCCGCUGCCGCGAAACAUCGAGAACCACUACCUGCAGUUGCAGUCCAAGUACUUCGCCGUCACCGAUGAACUGAGUAUCCCACAUGGUGAUAUGCGUCCCGUCGAGGGUACCCCGCACGACUACUCGGCGCUGCGCUGCGUUGCCGAGGGAAUGGAGGCGACGAAGGAGGAAGGUCGCGACGGCGGCGGCUACGAUGACCUGGUCGCCCUUGAGACGUGGGACUCGACCCUGCGGGAGGCAGCGCUGGUGUACAGUCCCGCUACCAAGCUGCGCAUGCAGGUGUGCACCACGAACCCAGCCAUUGUUGUCUACACAGCGAACCACCUGCCUGCCAAUGCCUCCGGCGCAAAAGGGCAGCGCUUCCAGCGGCACAGUGCGAUCUGCCUGGAGUGUCAGUACUUCCCGAACAGCCCCAACGUGCGAGCCUUCCCAUCGACAGUGUUGAAGAAAGGCGAAGCGUACAACGAGACUACGACUCACGCGUUCCAGUUCAUGAACGCUGACAUCACUCCAGAGGAAAAGCUGCUGCGCCGUCAGUAACCCGUGCCGUCAUGCGUGGAAGUGCGUGUAUGGUCUGGAGCUCCGAGGUGAAAAAUAAACAGCGGCUAGAAAGAGGAGGGCGAGCCUCAGCUGCCUACCUUCACGUGCUGCUGGGCACGCGGAUGCCCCAUCCGCCCCUCCCUCGCGAAAAGCCUCGCGCUUGCGGUCCGUGUGCCCCCACCUGUGUAGUUUCACCUCCCCGCACCUCUCCGUGGCUCUCGAAAACGCAGCAGCACGCACUGUCCGUUGAUCCACUUUCUACAUCUCUCGUCUUGUUUCAUUGUUUUGCUAUGAUACACGUUGUACGAGCUCGGUCGCUUGCGUGGCAUACGCCUUAUCUAUGUGUUUGUGUAUGUGCGUGCAUUGAAUCCUCUCCUCCCUUAACACAGCACAGGAAAUAAGGGGCAAAAACGAUCUGUGGCACCGCCACAGGCGCACAUACGCGUAUACUUGAGGAAGCUGGCAGGGAAGGUGGAAGCCAGGAAGAGAACGGCGCAGAGAAGAAAUCACGAGCGCACGAGCGAGCGCAAGAGAGUGCGAGAUGGCUAAGCGGUGACGGCGGCAUGAUGGGGAGAGGGAGCGCAGCUCUGUGGUCGGCAGCGUGCCCCCUUUAGCUGCCUCCCUCCCUCUCGCCGCGUUGGUUGUUCUUUUCCCUCCCGCUGCCGUGUCUUCUCCUACCUACCCCCUCCCCCUUUUUUUACGGAUUAGUCGCUGCCCGUCAUCCGCGCGGCCUCCCCCUCCCCGAGGGAGUGCACGGACGGGAGCGCAACGGUGCUGCAGAGUGUCUGCGGGCAUUUUUUUUAUUUCCCCGCCCACCUCUCUUUCGCCUUGCUGUUGUUUGCUUUCCCUGGCUCUUCGCUGCUUUCUUCUGCCUUCUUGUGUGUCCUCUCAUGACAUGCGACACCUCUCCGUGCGUGGCGUCAGGGCCCGGCGCGCCUGCUCUCGGUGGGGGGUGGGGGCCGUGGGGCCCCCGCCACCCCUCCCAAUGCCGAGCCACCCCUGGUGGUGACAGGGUCGCGUGCCUACGACACGGCGAGGUCAGUGGGAGUCAUCGCUGCUGAUGUCGGCGGUGAGGUCCCAGAUGGCGGUGCGUGGGAGAGACCCGCGACAGCGAGCACACGCUUGUGCCAUCCACGUUAUGUGCAGAGUGCCAGCGCCACCCCUAAAGGUGCACAGGGUGGCGGCCGGCAUGAUGGAAGGAGCGGCUGUUAGGCGGGUGGUGGGUAGGGUUGGAGGCAUGGGUCGUGCUCAACUGACCGGGUCAGCGCGUGGCUGUGGCGCUUGUGUCCAGGGCUGCUUCGCACCACGCGAUGUGGUGGGGGGGGGGGCUUGCGACCAUCCAGGGGUGGCGCACUGCUGGAGCCGUGUUGUAUGGCAGAAUGGAAGCCUUUGCCUGAAGAAGAGACGUGUUGUCUGCGUAUCUUCCCUCUCGUGUGUUCAGGCGUUUCCAAGUUGAGUGUCUGUGCGUGUAUGUAUUCGCGUGUGUGUGUGCACGACUGCGGCUGCGAUUCGACCUUGUGUGCUCAACAAGGGCAAAGAACCAAACGGGGAAGUCGGGCCCUGCGAGUGCCAUGUGCGUUGGCGAGGUACCGACGUGGGAGG